This 244-nucleotide ribosomal RNA is filed under the name uncultured bacterium. Its description in RNAcentral is "partial 16S ribosomal RNA". It matches the Rfam family "Bacterial small subunit ribosomal RNA", at positions 533 to 776 of the family's 1533-position model. The record is from RNAcentral.
UGCGAGCGUUAAUCGGAAUUACUGGGCGUAAAGCGUGCGUAGACGGUAGCGUAAGUCAGAUGUGAAAGCCCCGGGCUCAACCUGGGAAUUGCAUUUGAGACUGCUCUGCUCGGGUGCGGAAGAGGGAAGCGGAAUUUCCGGUGUAGCGGUGAAAUGCGUAGAUAUCAGGAGGAACACCGGUGGCGAAGGCGGGUCUCUGGGCCAUAACUGACGCUGAGGAGCGAAAGCGUGGGGAGCGAACAGG